AGUGAACGCUGGCGGUAGGCCUAACACAUGCAAGUCGAACGGCAGCACAGUAAGAGCUUGCUCUUACGGGUGGCGAGUGGCGGACGGGUGAGGAAUACAUCGGAAUCUACUUUUUCGUGGGGGAUAACGUAGGGAAACUUACUCUAAUACCUCAUACUACCUACGGGUGAAAGCAGGGGAUCUUCGUACCUUGCGCGAUUGAAUGAGCCGAUCUCGGAUUAGCUAGUUGGCGGGGUAAAGGCCCACCAAGGCGACGAUCCGUAGCUGGUCUGAGAGGAUGGUCAGCAAAACUGGAACUGAGACACGGUCAAGACUCCUACGGGAGGCAGCAGUGGGGAAUAUUGGACAAUGGGCGAAAGCCUGAUCCAGCAAUACCGCGUGGGUGAAGAAGGCCUUCGGGUUGUAAAGCCCUUUUGUUGGGAAAGAAAAGCAGCAGGUUAAUACCCCGCUGUUCUGACGGUACCCAAAGAAUAAGCACCGGCUAACUUCGUG
RNAcentral lists this ribosomal RNA (492 nucleotides) under uncultured bacterium. RNAcentral's name for it is "partial 16S ribosomal RNA". It matches the Rfam family "Bacterial small subunit ribosomal RNA", at positions 29 to 507 of the family's 1533-position model. The record is from RNAcentral.